Molecule: ribosomal RNA, 253 nt
Filed under: uncultured bacterium
Lineage: Bacteria
Description: partial 16S ribosomal RNA
Rfam family: Bacterial small subunit ribosomal RNA
Source: RNAcentral
UACGUAGGGCGCAAGCGUUAUCCGGAAUUAUUGGGCGUAAAGAGCUCGUAGGCGGUUUGUCGCGUCUGCCGUGAAAGUCCGGGGCUCAACUCCGGAUCUGCGGUGGGUACGGGCAGACUAGAGUGAUGUAGGGGAGACUGGAAUUCCUGGUGUAGCGGUGAAAUGCGCAGAUAUCAGGAGGAACACCGAUGGCGAAGGCAGCUCACUGGGACGGUACUGACGCUGAGGAGCGAAAGCGUGGGGAGCGAACAGG